GUUUGCAACAAGAUUUGCAUAUAAAAACAAUUCAUGGCUAACCGUAACUACUGCCAUCAGAUUUGUUACGGCUUCAUAACGCAUUGAACAAGAUUCACGUUUUUUCAGUACACUAACUUGCACAUUAUUUUUAGUAUCGGUGCUUGAUAAAAAAAAAAAAAGAAGACAUAGUACCCGUACAAAUCACUCCUGCAUGCGCAGGCUACAGCUGUGUGCUACAGUGUUUAUCAACAGUGUGAGGAUGAACUUUAGUCCACACACCUGUCCAGUGCACAUGCUCCAAACUUUUCCCUUACCGUUAAACUGCAACUCUCGUCCAGAAGGAAACUAGCAAAGAAAUCGAGAGUUGAGAAAAGAAAGAUCUACGGGCUCCGGCUCGCAAGCGACGUCACGGUGCGGCACGGCCGGGCCUCGUCGCCUUGAGCCGCCGGCGCACCUCGUUCCCACCGCUGUCAGCCGCAUGCUGAUGCUGAUGCUGAUGCUUCUCC
RNAcentral lists this long non-coding RNA (488 nucleotides) under Panicum hallii. Its description in RNAcentral is "long non-coding RNA (PHAL_LNC000543)". Lineage: Eukaryota; Viridiplantae; Streptophyta; Magnoliopsida; Poales; Poaceae. The record is from RNAcentral.